RNAcentral lists this long non-coding RNA (1101 nucleotides) under Betta splendens (Siamese fighting fish). RNAcentral describes it as "lncRNA (ENSBSLG00000011158.1)". Lineage: Eukaryota; Metazoa; Chordata; Actinopteri; Anabantiformes; Osphronemidae. The record is from RNAcentral.
UGACAUGAAAAACAUUAGCGUCCAUAAUAAAAAGGUAAAGUGAAACAGAGUUACAGAGCUUUUUAUGACAGGCGCAUGGACUUCAUUUACAAAUAAAACUAAGACCAAUUUUCAAUUUUCUAAAAAAUAACUGAUGACACCAACUUACAUUUUUCAGUCAAGUAAAGUCAAAGUCUUGCGUUGAUUUGCAGUCCUCUGUUAACUCAAAGUACUAGUGCUGUGUUAACUAAACAAGGCAGAAGUCCUGUGUUAACCGAAAGCAAAGACUCAUGUUUUUAUUAAUGUUCAUUGUAAGUGUUAAGGUCCAGUGGUAAAUCCUGUGGUAUUUUUGGCUGGACUUCCACCAUUUCCCCCCCUCUCACUCACCGUGAACAGACGAGCACGGCAGCGCCCAAAUCCUCCCAUAGAAAUAGUUUGGUUCUUGGGUGUUUUAACCAACACCAAAGUCUCUUCACUUUACCAAGGGCUCAACAAGUGAGGACUUUGUGGGUCACUUUCAUUUCAAACGGACCGGUGCCAGAAACACUGCCUCAGCAUUUAUACGUAUGUGCAUUUCAUACGCAUUUCGGCUCCUGUUGGAAAAAAAGGAUGUAUUCCUACAGUCCGUCAUUCACUCACUGAAGGGGGCACAUCCCAGUUACCCACAUGCAAGGAGGCUGUCAAACAGAGAAAUCACUGCAGACUGUUGAUACACAGACAUCUGCUGCCCAGCUCAGGAGUGAAGGUGAUGGUGAGGACAGCCACAGCUUCCAUCUGGUAGAGGACUGCUUCCGCUCAGUCUUCCAAAUAGUGAUGAGAACAAGGAUCACCACAUCUCCCUGGUCAUCUAUUUACAACUAACCUGUUCUGCUGCAGAAACAAAUCUCCAACAUAACAAAGUGUACCCCCUGCACAGGACAUGGACUGUUUACCCUACUUCCAUGCAUUUCGUCUGCAAGGCCCUGCAAAAGCUUCUGUCUUUAAACCCCCAGACUUCUUAAUUAACUCAGUAAGCUAUACAUUGCACACUGGAGUGUGAAGGUAACAGUUUGUUCUAGCUUUGGAGUAAUGGUGCAUUUUUUUGGUUGACAAUAAAGUUGGCUUUAACUAUUACGUAUUUCA